Molecule: ribosomal RNA, 301 nt
Filed under: uncultured bacterium
Lineage: Bacteria
Description: partial 16S ribosomal RNA
Rfam family: Bacterial small subunit ribosomal RNA
Source: RNAcentral
CAGCAGCCACGGUAACACGUAGGGGGCAAGCGUUAUCCGGAAUUACUGGGUGUAAAGGGAGCGUAGACGGUUAUACAAGUCUGAAGUGAAAUGCCGGGGCUCAACCCCGGAGCUGCUUUGGGAACUGUAGAACUGGAGUGUCGGAGGGGUAAGCGGAAUUCCCAGUGUAGCGGUGAAAUGCGUAGAUAUUGGGAGGAAUACCGGCGGCGAAGGCGGCUUACUGGACGACAACUGACGUUGGGGCUCGAAGGCGUGGGUAGCAAACAGGAUUAGAUACCCGCGUAGUCCCUGUCUCUUAUAC